Molecule: non-coding RNA, 513 nt
Organism: Dermacentor andersoni
Lineage: Eukaryota; Metazoa; Arthropoda; Arachnida; Ixodida; Ixodidae
Source: RefSeq, a predicted model, not a curated record
GCACUUGCUGUCCAGUCUACGGGCCCUCCUUCACAGGAGAAAGCCUGCAGCAACCAAUCUCGUCCACAUCAUUCAAGAUCGGCUGCUUCCUAAUGAUGUGAUAACCGUCCUCAAGCAGGAACCCAAGUUCUCCGUGGAGCCGAAGACGUCAGCGCCGGAACUUUUAGCGUUUGUGUGCAAAGUCGGAGACGUUUUCAAGAGUGCGACAAAGAUGGAUGCACAUGAGAAAGUGUAGAUGUCUUACAGACGACCAAGCUGCCUACCUGUAGCCUUCAUAUAUUCAUCAUGUGUAACCAAACUUGCGAGCACAAUUCCUCAUUGCCUGACACAACACCUUGCCACGUGAAGUGCGCAGAUUCUGUCAAGUACUCCUCGUUCCAACUGCCAACUUGCCGACUCUGCGGAACAUGUGAUAAUGGCCAAUGCAAGAAUAGAACUUCGUGUAAUUGAGCCACACGUAGGCACCGCAUACGUGUGGUUCUGGAAUGUUGGAAUAAAAUGUGCUAUGUGAAA